This 801-nucleotide ribosomal RNA is filed under the name uncultured Rubrobacter sp. RNAcentral describes it as "bacterial SSU rRNA". It matches the Rfam family "Bacterial small subunit ribosomal RNA", at positions 8 to 796 of the family's 1533-position model. Lineage: Bacteria; Bacillati; Actinomycetota; Rubrobacteria; Rubrobacterales; Rubrobacteraceae. The record is from RNAcentral.
AGAGUUUGAUCAUGGCUCAGGACGAACGCUGACGGUGUGCUUUAGACAUGCAAGUCGAACGAGAAAGCCCUUCGGGGUGAGUACAGUGGCGAACGGGUGAGUAACACGUGGGCAACCUGCCCCUCGCAGGGGGACAACCGGAGGAAACUCCGGCUAAUACCCCGUACGCUUGUUGGAUCGCAUGGUCCGGCAAGGAAAGGUAGCUUCGGCCAUCCGGCGAGGGAUGGGCCCGCGUUGCAUUAGCUAGUUGGUGGGGUAACGGCCUACCAAGGCGACGAUGCGUAGCUGGUCUGAGAGGAUGAUCAGCCACACUGGGACUGAGACACGGCCCAGACUCCUACGGGAGGCAGCAGCCAGGAAUCUUGGGCAAUGGGCGAAAGCCUGACCCAGCAACACCGUGUGGGUGACGAAGGCCUUAGGGUCGUAAAGCCCUGUUGAUAGGGACGAAGGGCGAAGGGUUAAUAGCCCCUAGCUUGACGGUACCUUUCGAGGAAGCCCCGGCUAACUACGUGCCAGCAGCCGCGGUAAUACGUAGGGGGCGAGCGUUGUCCGGAAUUAUUGGGCGUAAAGAGCGUGUAGGCGGUUCGGUAAGUCUGCUGUGAAAUCCUGGGGCUCAACCCUGGGCGUGCAGCGGAUACUGCCGGGCUAGAGGGUGGUAGAGGCGAGUGGAAUUCCGAGUGUAGCGGUGAAAUGCGCAGAUAUUCGGAGGAACACCAGUAGCGAAGGCGGCUCGCUGGGCCACACCUGACGCUGAGACGCGAAAGCGUGGGGAGCGAACAGGAUUAGAUACCCCGGUAGUCC